RNAcentral lists this transfer RNA (71 nucleotides) under Cloeon dipterum. RNAcentral describes it as "tRNA-Val". Lineage: Eukaryota; Metazoa; Arthropoda; Insecta; Ephemeroptera; Baetidae. The record is from RNAcentral.
AAUGGAGAUUAGGUCUUCAGGUAGUAAAUGUUUUAUAAGGAUUUAAUUUUAGGGUUGGUUAGAAGAUUAUU